CCUACGGGAGGCAGCAGUGGGGAAUAUUGCACAAUGGGCGAAAGCCUGAUGCAGCAACGCCGCGUGAAGGAAGAAGGCUUUCGGGUCGUAAACUUCUGUCCUCGGGGAAGAAGAACUGACGGUACCCAAGGAGGAAGCCCCGGCAAACCACGCCCCAGCAGCCGCGGUAAUACGUGGGGGGCAAGCGUUAUCCGGGAUAAUUGGGCGAAAAGAGUACGUAGGGGGCAACCUAAGCGCAGGGUUAACGGCAAUGGCUAAACCAUUGAUCGCCCUGCGAACUGGGAGGCUUGAGUGCAGGAGAGGAAAGCGGAAUUCCUAGUGUAGCGGUGAAAUGCGUAGAUAUUAGGAGGAACACCAGUGGCGAAGGCGGCUUUCUGGACUGUAACUGACGCUGAGGUACGAAAGCGUGGGGAGCAAACAGGAUUAGAUACCCUGGUAGUC
This 441-nucleotide ribosomal RNA is filed under the name uncultured bacterium. Its description in RNAcentral is "partial 16S ribosomal RNA". It matches the Rfam family "Bacterial small subunit ribosomal RNA", at positions 338 to 795 of the family's 1533-position model. The record is from RNAcentral.